GAAAAUUUUAUCCUGCCCUACCUUUGCUAUUUGAACCUCAGAGCUAGAGGUUUGUUAUUUUAGUAUUUCUCACUGCAGUUUUCAGCUUGUGAAGUUUCGGAGAAUUGCAAGUCAGGUAUCUUCAGGCAAAUGCUUUGCAAGCUUUCUGCAUUGACUCCCAUCAGUAACCUCAGUGCUGCAUGCAUCUUUUGAUCCUUAAGGCCAGAAACAACCACGAAAGUCAUUUAGUCUGACCUAGAGCAGCACCGAUCACAGAGCAAGGCAAACUCGUAGAGGGGUCAGUCAGUCUCCCCGCUGUUCCUACAUUCCUCCUGGACGUCUGCACAGCUGGGCCAGACAGAAGGCUUUUUAAACAUCACUGUUCAGGAUGCUGCUGGAAGGCUGCUGGGCCAUGGGACGGUAAAGGGAGACGGGAAACGUGGCUGGGUAUGUUAUUGCUGCAAAGGGUUCAGCAGACACUGCUCUACUCAAGCAUCAGUAUGUGCCCAAGAGUGGGACCAGGCGCACUGGAGUCCGGAAGAGAUUUCUGCUGCUGAUCAGAUGGGAGACCACUCUCGUGGAUGGAUCACGCAUCCCUCAGAACUGGAGUCCAGCUUGAAUGCUCCCUUCGUUUCACAUGGAUCAGGUUGGGUGAUCAGAGGAGCUCUCGCAACACGCACCAGGAUCCAGGAGUCCUAUGUUCACCCUAUCCAAAGGAUCAGGUUGACUUUCACCCUGGAAAAAAUGUCUGGUCUGCUCUAGUCAUUCAGGAUUCCAGAUAUGUCUGUUUUUUUCUGCUCUUAGUUCAAGAUACCAAGAAGGAAGCUAUUAGCAGAAAGACAUUCUGAGCAUAACCUGAAAAUGAAGUCCUUACAGAUGUCCCCACUUUGGAUGUAAAACAGUGAAUCCACUAAUAUCACUAACAAGUUUUGAAAAUUCAGACCAGAGCGUUUUGCUGAGCAUCUGAAAAGACUUUCCUUCCAAGAACAAGUACUGUCAGUGAUGCUUUGGGUAACCGCUACAAGGAUUACGCACGUGAUAUUUGUUAGAUGAUGGUGUGUAUCUAUUUAGUUUACAAAGUGGUGUUUUUUGGCAUAAAAACGCAUGCGUCAUUACAGCUGUAAAGCCUCGCAAAACCUCAGGGUUACAGUUCUCAACAGCAACGUUUUUGGCGUUCGAAAGGAUGGGUCAGAACUGCAAAGUGUCCCAAGAUCCAAAAUUUUCACCACAGAUGAGUGGGUUGUGCUCUAGAUAUUUUGCUUGGCCCCGCUUGUGAAACAUAGGUUCACAGAUGCAGAGCCCUGUAUCCCAGCACUGCGGAGGACAGGGGUUUGUAAAGAAAUGAUACUGGCUCGUGGGCGUCUGCAGGGUCUUGUUGGAAGGGUCAGGGCUUUCCGCCUUCCCCUUUCUGACUACUCCUGAUGGAGACUCAUUGUCGAAGUCCUCACUUUUGGUGGGAGCGAGGCCGAAGGGGGCAUAUGGUGCAGAGGCAGCAGAAGAAGGACUGUCGGAGUGGCCCCUAGAUUUAGCAGGCCAUCAAGAUCGCAGCACAUCUACGUGCAGCUUCUCAGGAUGCCCAGAUCAGGAGACAAAGGAAAGUGAGUAAAUUUGGAUGACUCACCGAGGUGGGACAGGAUGGAGAGGCUAAUCCCUGUCAGCUCCUAAAGAGUACAAAGAGGCACAUCCAAAACAAGCACAUCAUCACCAAGCUUGGAAGAAUCCAGGAGACGUGAGUAGACCUCGAUAGCUGGCGUCUCUCAUCCUCCGCGUCCCUGCGAGGAAUCCUGGGCUGGCCACCUGGAGACGAGCGUCCUGGUGCCUGCUGCUGGACCGGCUGCCUGCACACAU
Molecule: long non-coding RNA, 1827 nt
Filed under: Dromaius novaehollandiae (emu)
Lineage: Eukaryota; Metazoa; Chordata; Aves; Casuariiformes; Dromaiidae
Description: lncRNA (ENSDNVG00000014207.1)
Source: RNAcentral